CAAAUUACAGUUUAAGUAAAUAUUUCAUUUACAUUGAAGAGAAAUUGAUUUUUAUCAUUUAAUUUGA
RNAcentral lists this transfer RNA (67 nucleotides) under Epizygaenella caschmirensis caschmirensis. RNAcentral's name for it is "transfer RNA-Val (GUN)". Lineage: Eukaryota; Metazoa; Arthropoda; Insecta; Lepidoptera; Zygaenidae. The record is from RNAcentral.